Molecule: ribosomal RNA, 176 nt
Filed under: Enteromius paludinosus (straightfin barb)
Lineage: Eukaryota; Metazoa; Chordata; Actinopteri; Cypriniformes; Cyprinidae
Description: partial 12S rRNA
Source: RNAcentral
CACCGCGGUUAGACGAGAGGCCCUAGUUGAUACUAAUAACGGUGUAAAGUGUGGUUAGGGGUAGAGAAAUUAAAGCCAAAUGGCCCCUUGGCCGUCAUACGCUACUGGGCGUCCGAAACCCUACAUACGAAAGUAGCUUUAAUUAAAUUAUACCCGACCCCACGAAAACUAAGAAA